UACGUAGGUGGCAAGCGUUAUCCGGAAUUACUGGGCGUAAAGCGCACGUAGGCGGUCGGCUAAGUCUGACGUGAAAGCUCCUGGCUUAACUGGGAGAGGUCGUUGGAAACUGGCUGACUUGAGGCGAUGAGAGGGACGUAGAAUUCCCGGUGUAGUGGUGGAAUGCGUAGAUAUCGGGAGGAAUACCAGUGGCGAAAGCGGCGUCCUAGCAUCGGCCUGACGUUCAUGUGCGAAAGCGUGGGGAGCGAACGGG
RNAcentral lists this ribosomal RNA (253 nucleotides) under uncultured bacterium. Its description in RNAcentral is "partial 16S ribosomal RNA". It matches the Rfam family "Bacterial small subunit ribosomal RNA", at positions 524 to 776 of the family's 1533-position model. The record is from RNAcentral.